UACGUUUAUAUUUAAAUAAAUCUUAUUUCUUUUCAUACCUGAAAGAAAUUUGUGAAGAGUUGUGACAUAUUUCUCCCAGGAGUUUUUGUCAGAGAUGUUGUAAUAAAUUUCUAAUCCUCCUUCACCAUAGACAUCCGGUCGUAACGUCACCCCUGUAUUUAAAAAAGAAAAAAUGAAGAAAAGAGAAGUGUUUCAGUAGAUGCUGUCAUGACUAAAAAGCUUGAAAGGAGUAGGAAAGUAAUCCAAUGGACAGAAUCUUUGUUUGAACUUGACUUCAGUGGGAGUUGAAGGCUCUGAUCCCUCGAAGAUAUUUGCUUCUCUUUAUGCACCAUGAGUAGUCCAGCUGAAAUCAAUAGUUGUUGAUAAAGUAUGAGUACGGCCAAAUAGAACAACAAGAAAAUCAGACAUUUGAGGAGUUUCUAUUUUCCAUAGAAAGAAGGGGAAGACAAGCAAGAGGCUCAUUCCAGUAAUCACAUAAUUUAACAAC
This is a long non-coding RNA of Dermochelys coriacea (leatherback sea turtle), 487 nucleotides long. RefSeq lists it as uncharacterized. Lineage: Eukaryota; Metazoa; Chordata; Testudines; Dermochelyidae. The record is from RefSeq and is a predicted model, not a curated record. The transcript is spliced from 4 exons.